UUGAAGCUAUUCUUGAAAAGUCAGUCAGGGAGAGAAGCAAUCUAAAGGGAAAGAAGAGUAGGAAUAAAGGUAUAGAGGAAUCUGUAGUAAUUUGAGAAACAGAGCAGAGCUGCAUGAUGUGCAGGGCCAAGACAGGGGUGCAUGGGACGGGGAGUUACGAGCUGCAGAGGGGAGAGGUAAAUUAAGCACGGUUUUUGCAAGCUAUGCUGAAGAUCUUAGAAGGGCCAACGGACAACAGUGAAAGAUUUUAAGCAGGAAAGAAACAUGGACACCAUCAGACUGGUGUCAGAAACCCUGUAAAGAGAAACUAGAAUUCCAGAAAUCCAAAGACAAAGCCAGGAGAUUCUAAAGAUAGAGAGAGUAAGAAGAACAAGGAGAAGUGGGCAGAGCCAUAGUGAACUAGGGCCACACACGACACUUCAGUGAAAGGGUGGAGGUUCACCAAGCACAGCUCCUCUUAGUGGUUCAUGUAGCUGAGUCAGAGUGAGAAGCUACUGGUCAAAAGUCAGUGCCCAGUGCAGCAUCACUGAGCAAGAACAGCCUCAUAACAGCUCCCUUCAUGGAACCCCUGCCUCACCUAAAAUGAAUGGAAAGUUCUAGA
Molecule: long non-coding RNA, 601 nt
Filed under: Homo sapiens (human)
Lineage: Eukaryota; Metazoa; Chordata; Mammalia; Primates; Hominidae
Description: HSALNT0263699
Source: RNAcentral